GACGUAGGGCGCGAGCGUGUCCGGAUUUAUUGGGCGUAAAGAGCUCGUAGGCGGCUUGUCGCGUCGAAUGUGAAAACCCACGGCUCAACUGUGGGCUUGCAUUCGAUACGGGCAGGCUAGAGUUCGGUAGGGGAGACUGGAAUUCCUGGUGUAGCGGUGGAAAUGACGCAGAUAUCAGGAGGAACACCGGUGGCGAAGGCAGGUCUCUGGGCAUUAACUGACGCUGAGGAGCGAAAGCAUGGGGGAGCGAACAGG
RNAcentral lists this ribosomal RNA (255 nucleotides) under uncultured bacterium. RNAcentral describes it as "partial 16S ribosomal RNA". It matches the Rfam family "Bacterial small subunit ribosomal RNA", at positions 524 to 776 of the family's 1533-position model. The record is from RNAcentral.